GGAUUGAAUCAAAAUCCGAUCUUCUCAGAGGUGAGCGAAUCAAUAGUGAGAAAGCCAUGGUGAGUAGCCAUAGUGAAUUAUCGAAAAAAAGCCAAAUCUCACGCCUUUCAAUGUGCGUUUUUGUUUCGUGUGGCCAUGGCUGCAUAUACGUCAUACCUGUGGUUCCUGCGGUGUGUGUUGUGUGGUAUUGUGUGUCGGUGUGAAUUUUGUGCUGCGUGUGGAAGUUACUGGUGGAAAGUGGGUGGAAGGGACAAUGUGUAAACUUUUAUUGUGUUGAAUUUAACGGCGGUGUGGCUGGUGUCGAUCCAUGUGCUGGUGUUCAUCAUCCCGGGUGUGCUGUACAUAGGCUAUUCCUCGCGCGCUAGGACGAUCCAGUUACAAAGCAGCAAAAUGCGGCGCUCAAUGAACGACGGUAGUGCGGUAAAAUCAUGCAUAGCCUGUUACGCGGUAAGGUGCUUUUUGAAGCGUUUGUUUUAGAUUUCUGCUCUGAUUUUAUAGUUAGUAACAAAGAUCAACCUAAAUCUGGAUUAUAUUAAUGAUGGUAAAUUUUGGAUCGUCAAAUACGGUUAGUGUAGAGUAGGACAUGUCCGUCGCGGAGUCGUAAGUUCAAGUAUAGAGUGGAUCGAGCCCCGUCCGGCUGCAAUGACUGAUUUAUCCAGCUGCGUCGUAAUGGAUGAGUCUCAAACGUUGUAAUAGGCUGGCAUGAUCGAGCAGGUCGUUACACCAAAUCGA
Molecule: long non-coding RNA, 732 nt
Organism: Anopheles coluzzii
Lineage: Eukaryota; Metazoa; Arthropoda; Insecta; Diptera; Culicidae
Exons: 3
Source: RefSeq, a predicted model, not a curated record